ACUAUUUCGGUUGGCGGAAACAUAUAAUUUAUUUAUGAUCUUAUGGUUUUGGGAUGUGAGCAAAUUUCAUAAUAUUAUCCUCCCAUCAAAUUAGCCACAUGUUCGGUCAUUAAGUAUCCACGUAAAUACGAACAUACCGACCAAGAGUUAUGAGAAGGAAGUGGCAAAUAGUGUUAGGCAGUGUAUUGUUCCAUUUAUGGUGGUGUGGCAUAAAUGGAAUUUGGUCGCUGUUGGUUAGUUGGUGACUCA
Arabidopsis thaliana (thale cress) is the source of this 249-nucleotide long non-coding RNA. RefSeq annotates it as other RNA. The record is from RefSeq. The transcript has a single exon. NCBI's taxonomy places the organism in Eukaryota, Viridiplantae, Streptophyta, Magnoliopsida, Brassicales, Brassicaceae.